RNAcentral lists this ribosomal RNA (253 nucleotides) under uncultured bacterium. RNAcentral's name for it is "partial 16S ribosomal RNA". It matches the Rfam family "Bacterial small subunit ribosomal RNA", at positions 524 to 776 of the family's 1533-position model. The record is from RNAcentral.
GACGUAGGGCGCGAGCGUUGUCCGGAAUUAUUGGGCGUAAAGCGUCCGCAGGCGGCUUUUUAAGUCUGUUGUCAAAGCCCACAGCUCAACUGUGGAUCGGCAAUGGAAACUGGGAAGCUAGAGUGUGGUAGGGGUGUGUGGAACUUCUAGUGGAGCGGUGAAAUGUGUUGAUAUUAGAAGGAACGCCGGUGGCGAAAGCGACACACUGGACCUUGUCUGACGCUGAGGCACGAAAGCCAGGGGAGCAAACGGG